UUUAAGUGUGUAUUUAUGUCUUGUAUUGCUGGUAAGUAACUUUCUUGCACUGAGGUCUGUUUGUUGCAAAUAUCUUUGAUCUGUUUUUUUGUCUUAUAAUGUUUAUGUGUGUAUUUAUGUCUUGUAAUGUUUAUGUGUGUAUUUAUGUCUUAUAAUGUUUAUGUGUGUAUUUAUGUCUUGUAAUGUUUAUGUGUUUAAUUAUGUCUUGUAUUGCUGGUGAGUAACUUCCUUACACUGAGGUCUGGUUAUUGCAAAUAUCUUUGACUUGUUUUUAUGUCUUAUAAUGUUUAUGUGUGUAUUUAUGUCUUGUAUUGCUGGUAAGUAACUUUCUUGCACUGAGGUCUGUUUAUUGCAAAUAUCUUUGACUUGUUUUUAUGUCUUAUAAUGUUUAUGUGUGUAUUUAUGUCUUGUAUUGCUGGUAAGUAACUUUCUUGCACUGAGGUCUGUUUAUUGCAAAUAUCUUUGACUUGUUUUUAUGUCUUAUAAUGUUUAUGUGUGUAUUUAUGUCUUAUAAUGUUUAUGUGUGUAUUUAUGUCUUAUAAUGUUUAUGUGUGUAUUUAUGUCUUGUAUUGCUGGUAAGUAACUUUCUUGCACUGAGGUCUGAUUAUUGCAAAUAUCUUUGACUUGUUUUUAUGUCUUAUAAUGUUUAUGUGUGUAUUUAUGUCUUGUAUUGCUGGUAAGUAACUUUCUUGCACUGAGGUCUGAUUAUUGCAAAUAUCUUUGACUUGUUUUUAUGUCUUAUAAUGUUUAUGUGUGUAUUUAUGUCUUGUAUUGCUGGUAAGUAACUUUCUUACACUGAGGUCUGUUUAUUGCAAAUAUCUUUGACUUGUUUUUAUGUCUUAUAAUGUUUAUGUGUGUAUGUAUGUCUUAUAAUGUUUAUGUGUGUAUUUAUGUCUUGUAUUGCUGGUAAGUAACUUUCUUGCACUGAGGUCUGUUUAUUGCAAAUAUCUUUGAUCUGUUUUUUUGUCUUAUAAUGUUUAUGUGUGUAUGUAUGUCUUAUAAUGUUUAUGUGUGUAUUUAUGUCUUGUAUUGCUGGUAAGUAACUUUCUUGCACUGAGGUCUGUUUGUUGCAAAUAUCUUUGAUCUGCUUUUUUUUGUCUUAUAAUGUUUAUGUGUGUAUUUAUGUCUUAUAAUGUUUAUGUGUUUAUUUAUGUCUUGUAUUGCUGGUAAGUAACUUUCUUACACUGAGGUCUGUUUAUUGCAAAUAUCUUUGACUUGUUUUUUUGUCUUAUAAUGUUUAUGUGUGUAUUUAUGUCUUAUAAUGUUUAUGUGUGUAUUUAUGUCUUGUAAUGUUUAUGUGUGUAUUUAUGUCUUGUAUUGCUGGUAAGUAACUUUCUUGCACUGAGGUCUG
Molecule: long non-coding RNA, 1351 nt
Organism: Astatotilapia calliptera (eastern happy)
Lineage: Eukaryota; Metazoa; Chordata; Actinopteri; Cichliformes; Cichlidae
Source: Ensembl